GACGAACGCUGGCGGCGUGCUUAACACAUGCAAGUCGAACGGAAAGGCCCGGCUUGCUGGGUACUCGAGUGGCGAACGGGUGAGUAACACGUGGGUGAUCUGCCCUGGACUCUGGGAUAAGCCUGGGAAACUGGGUCUAAUACCGGAUAUGACCUUACAUCGCAUGGUGUUUGGUGGAAAGCUUUUGCGGUUCAGGAUGGGCCCGCGGCCUAUCAGCUUGUUGGUGGGGUAAUGGCCUACCAAGGCGACGACGGGUAGCCGACCUGAGAGGGUGAUCGGCCACACUGGGACUGAGACACGGCCCAGACUCCUACGGGAGGCAGCAGUGGGGAAUAUUGCACAAUGGGCGCAAGCCUGAUGCAGCGACGCCGCGUGAGGGAUGACGGCCUUCGGGUUGUAAACCUCUUUCACCAGGGACGAAGCGUGAGUGACGGUACCUGGAGAAGAAGCACCGGCCAACUACGUG
Molecule: ribosomal RNA, 466 nt
Filed under: uncultured bacterium
Lineage: Bacteria
Description: partial 16S ribosomal RNA
Rfam family: Bacterial small subunit ribosomal RNA
Source: RNAcentral